CAGGAUAGCCCGGAACUGGAGUAAUACCUGAUGAUAUCUCCGAUCAAAGCUUCGGCCACCUUGGGAGCGGGGAAACGCCCUAUCAGGUUGUUGGUGAGGUAACGGCUCACCAAGCCUAAGACGGGUAGCGGGUGUGAGAGCAUGACCCGCCGCAUCGGGACUGAGACACUGCCCGGACUCCUACGGGAGGCUGCAGUAACGAAUAUUCCGCAAUGCGCGAAAGCGUGACGGAGCAAUGCCGCGUGUGGGAUGAAGCUUUUCGGAGUGUAAACCACUGUCAGAGUUUAGGAACUCAAUGACCAGACUCAAAGGAAGGG
This 317-nucleotide ribosomal RNA is filed under the name uncultured Planctomycetales bacterium. Its description in RNAcentral is "bacterial SSU rRNA". It matches the Rfam family "Bacterial small subunit ribosomal RNA", at positions 138 to 492 of the family's 1533-position model. Lineage: Bacteria; Pseudomonadati; Planctomycetota; Planctomycetia; Planctomycetales. The record is from RNAcentral.